GAACUUAAGCAUAUCAAUAAGCGGAGGAAAAGAAACUAACAAGGAUUCCCCUAGUAACUGCGAGUGAAGAGGGAAGAGCUCAAAUUUAAAAUCUGUCAGUUUUUAGCUGACCGAGUUGUAAAUUAGAGAAGUGCUAUCAGCGCUGGCCUGUGCAAAAGCCUCUUGGAAAAGAGCAUCAUAGAGGGUGACAAUCCCGUCUUUGGUACAGAGCUCCAGGGCUACAUGAUGUGCUCUCAAUGAGUCGAGUUGUUUGGGAAUGCAGCUCUAAAUGGGUGGUAAAUUCCAUCUAAAGCUAAAUAUUGGCGAGAAACCGAUAGCGCACAAGUACCGUGAGGGAAAGAUGAAAAGAACUUUGAAAAGAGAGUUAAACAGUACGUGAAAUUGUUGAAAGGGAAACGCUUGAAGUCAGUCAUGUCCUUCAGAAAUCAACCUGACUUUGGUCUGGCUUAUUUUCUGUUGGAUGGGUCAGCAUCAAUUUUGAUCAUUGGAUAAAGACCUUGGGAAAGUGGCAUCUCCGGAUGUGUUAUAGCCCUGGGAUCACAUACAAUGGUUGGGAUUGAGGAACUCAGUGUGAAUUUGGGGUAUACUCACAACACGCACUUAGGAUGCUGGCAUAAUGGCUUUAAUCGACCCGUCUUGAAACACGGACCAAGGAGUCUAACAUACAUGCGAGUGUUUGGGUGGAAAACUCAAGCGCGUAAUGAAAGUGAAAGUUGAGAACCCUGUCGUGGGGUGCAUCGACGCCCGGACCUGACCUUUUGUGAUGGACCUGCGGUAGAGCAUGCAUGUUGGGACCCGAAA
This 801-nucleotide ribosomal RNA is filed under the name uncultured fungus. Its description in RNAcentral is "eukaryotic LSU rRNA". It matches the Rfam family "Eukaryotic large subunit ribosomal RNA", at positions 30 to 821 of the family's 3401-position model. The record is from RNAcentral. Lineage: Eukaryota; Fungi.